AAGUGCCACACCAAGCUCACAGUGUAGAUGCGGAAACUAGAUCUCACAACAGCUGCUUUAUUUGGUAAGUGAUCUCAAGGAAUAGGAGAGGGGAGGUGGAAAAGUGACACUGGACUGGAAGGAAAGCCAAAUCAAGGGUGGGUUAUAAAGCUGACCACCACUAUGGGUAACUGAGGUGUUCUUUCUAGAAAUCCUUCCAAAGAGCCAUGUAGAAUGAACCUCAUCAUUAUCUGCCUGAGGGAGAUAAGAUGGAAGGAUUUAUCCACGGCUUCCCUCCCCGCUGGUCAAGGGUGUUCAGUUCCUCCUAUUUCCAGGUUUGCAUAUUUGACAGAAGGGCUAAGAAGGCUGCUGCCGGUGUCCCACUGACUACAGCAGAGAAGCCUCAGGGCAGAAAACAGCUUGACAGAGCAGCUGGAGUGAGCUGCUGGAACGUAACUGAAGUGAAAAGGAGGAGGCGAGAGGAUUACUGAAUGAGUCCGGCUCUUUAAAUUACGCUUACUGAACUCUGUGAUUGCCAAGGACAGCAACUAGGACUGGAAGAAACUGUCGGUCGAGAUAAGUGGUAGAAGAGCUCUCUCAUGGUCCCACCCAGACUCUUCCUCAUCUUCCAAUGUGCAGUGGAGACUCAAACCACACCAUGACCCCGUUAGCAGCACAGGGAGGUUCCAGAAUGAUCCUCUUCAGUGAUAAAGAGGGGAUGCAUCUGAGGUAUCAUCGAAACUGUCUUCCCCUAAACAAAACUAGAAAUAGAAUCUAGCAAAAUAAUCUUUUCAGUUUAACAAAUUUAAUUUUUCUAUAGCUGCCUCUGAGUUAGGCAACUAGCUCUAAAAUACGACGUGAUGCAAUAAAAUGCAAUAUGGCUUGCUAA
Molecule: non-coding RNA, 868 nt
Organism: Macaca mulatta (Rhesus monkey)
Lineage: Eukaryota; Metazoa; Chordata; Mammalia; Primates; Cercopithecidae
Source: RefSeq, a predicted model, not a curated record